UGGUCAUUGAGUACUUAAGUCAAUUGUUAUU
RNAcentral lists this non-coding RNA (31 nucleotides) under Rattus norvegicus (Norway rat). The record is from RNAcentral. Lineage: Eukaryota; Metazoa; Chordata; Mammalia; Rodentia; Muridae.